This 164-nucleotide ribosomal RNA is filed under the name Lepisanthes senegalensis. RNAcentral describes it as "5.8S ribosomal RNA". It matches the Rfam family "5.8S ribosomal RNA". Rfam says of the family: 5.8S ribosomal RNA (5.8S rRNA) is a component of the large subunit of the eukaryotic ribosome. It is transcribed by RNA polymerase I as part of the 45S precursor that also contains 18S and 28S rRNA. Functionally, it is thought that 5.8S rRNA may be involved in ribosome translocation. The record is from RNAcentral. Lineage: Eukaryota; Viridiplantae; Streptophyta; Magnoliopsida; Sapindales; Sapindaceae. RNAcentral also lists the same sequence under 1 other name.
AUAACGACUCUCGGCAACGGAUAUCUCGGCUCUCGCAUCGAUGAAGAACGUAGCGAAAUGCGAUACUUGGUGUGAAUUGCAGAAUCCCGUGAACCAUCGAGUCUUUGAACGCAAGUUGCGCCCCAAGCCUUUCAGGCCGAGGGCACGUCUGCCUGGGUGUCACG